Long non-coding RNA from Aegilops tauschii subsp. strangulata, 1298 nucleotides. RefSeq lists it as uncharacterized. NCBI's taxonomy places the organism in Eukaryota, Viridiplantae, Streptophyta, Magnoliopsida, Poales, Poaceae. The record is from RefSeq and is a predicted model, not a curated record.
CGGCGACGGCAUCCCCUUCUCCUACAAUGACGGCGACGGCCUCCCCGACGAGUCCACUCUUCCUCCCCGCCACCGCCGCCGCCGUCGCUGACUCCUUCCUCUCCCGCAGAGAGAAGUGAGAUGGCUGGCUUGGAAGGUUUCGAGUUCUUCGAGAUCCUAAUUAAGAAAUCUUGCAGUAGGCAGGUAUAUUCAAGACAAUAUCUCCCCUUCACCCAUCUCUUUAUCAUCACUCUGCUGUCUAGUGCUUGAUUGGCACAAUUAACCACUGCUUGACCCUUGCUGCACAGGCUACCUGACAAGUUUGCGAAGAUGCUCGCCGGUCGUGAGCCCCACAAAGUGAAGCUGAGGGGGGUCGGCAGCGGGCGUCGCAGGCUGUGGGAUGUGUUGGUGGUGUUCGACGGCAAAAGGCCACAUGUACCUAGGGCUCGGCUGGGAGAUGUUCGACAACACCAUGUGCCGCAUGUACUACCAGCACGACGACGAUCCCAGCAAUGGGAGCAGCAGCGGGGAUGACGAGGAGUAGAGUGGGCAAGAAGAGGAGCAGAGCAGGGAUGAUGAGGAGCAGUGCGGGGAAGAAGAGGAGCAGAGCGGGGAGGUGCAGCCUAUUCUGGCUGACGACGAUCUUGCUAUGGUGGUGGCUAACGUCGACCCUGCAAUGGUGGUGGCUGACGACGACCUCGCAAUUGUGGUGCCUGACGCUGACCUCAUGAUGGUGGUGCCUAACGAUGACCUCGCGAUGGUGGUGGCGCCAGCGAUCCCACAGCUGGGCAACAGGACCAUGCUAAUUGUGGUAGAGGAGUACAUUCGCCUCCACAUUCGCCACUCUGAGUGCAUCAGGACAAUGAAGGAGAAUAAGGAGAAGAACGAGUGAAGAUGUUAAGAAUAUAAGCUUGUUAAGCAUGUUAAUCUGAACAUGUCAAUGUUUAGUAUGUCAAGUUUAAGCUUGUUAGUGUAAACCUCUUAAGUAUGACAAUGUCAGCCAAGCUUAGUUUGAAAUUGAUGAGCUUUGAAAUUUCGUGCGCCCAUGGAUGCUCAACUAUGAAUAUUCUGUUUCUUAAUUAUGAAUAUUCAUUUUGGUAAUUGAUGGGAAUUGAUAUUUUGUGCAUGCUCAUGGAUGAAAUAUGAAAUUAUGGGUUUUUGUGCAUGCUCAUGUAUGAAACAAUAUAAGUUUUCAUUUUGUGAUUGUCAAAAACAUGUUUUUUCCUUCAGAUUGUUCAUUAAGAAUCAACAACAUUAUGUAACAAUAUAAGUUUCAUGCUCAAGUAUGACAGUGUCAUCUAAACAUGGUUUUUCAUAAA